Leopardus geoffroyi (Geoffroy's cat) is the source of this 494-nucleotide long non-coding RNA. RefSeq lists it as uncharacterized. The record is from RefSeq and is a predicted model, not a curated record. NCBI's taxonomy places the organism in Eukaryota, Metazoa, Chordata, Mammalia, Carnivora, Felidae. The transcript has 3 exons.
AUUUACCAAUCCGUUCAGAUAUUUUCAAUACUUAAACACCUAGUGAAACUCGGCUGGUGCUCAUCAGCAGAAUAUCACCUAGUCUCCGGAUAACAGGGGUAUUGCCUUGCUCAGGUUUCAAGGGUUACAGUCAGCAGAAAAAGCCUGCAUCGGACGCAUGUGUCCUGAGAGCAUUCUGAGACAGUCAUCCAACCAGUGCUCAAUCAAGCCACCACUCCAUGACGCCUGUGCUGAGGGAUGCUGAGGACACUAAGGUGACCAAGACAGACUGUGCCCCACCCUCAUGAAGCUGUCAUGCCACAAGGGAGACAGAGCAGCUACAAGUCAGUGAAGCUCAGAACACACAGGGCUGGGGUGAGAAGUCACAGACAGAGGAGUCACGGUGGGGAUGGGGGAGACAGAGGAGUCAGGGCAAGGUUGGGGGAGACAGACAGAGGGGUCAGGGCAGGAUUGGGUGGCACAGGUGUCUGUAGGGACCCAGAAGUGGUACCUGU